AAAGUCCCAGUUCGGAUUGUAGUCUGNAACCGACUACAUGAAGCUGGAAUCGCUAGUAAUCGCGGAUCAGAAUGCCGCGGUGAAUACGUUCCCGGGUCUUGUACACACCGCCCGUCACACCAUGGGAGUCGGAAAUGCCCGAAGUCUGUGACCCAACCUACGGGAGGGAGCAGCCGAAGGCAGGUCGGAUGACUGGGGUGAAGUCGUAACAAGGUAGC
This 218-nucleotide ribosomal RNA is filed under the name uncultured bacterium. Its description in RNAcentral is "partial 16S ribosomal RNA". It matches the Rfam family "Bacterial small subunit ribosomal RNA", at positions 1282 to 1500 of the family's 1533-position model. The record is from RNAcentral.